GGUGCCGUAGGCAAAUUGGUAAAGCCACUGACCUUUCAAGUCAGCGUCUGCGGGUUCAAAUCCCGUCGGCACUG
This 74-nucleotide transfer RNA is filed under the name Phormidium pseudopriestleyi FRX01. RNAcentral's name for it is "tRNA-Glu". It matches the Rfam family "tRNA". From Rfam's summary of the family: Transfer RNA (tRNA) molecules are approximately 80 nucleotides in length. Their secondary structure includes four short double-helical elements and three loops (D, anti-codon, and T loops). The record is from RNAcentral. Lineage: Bacteria; Bacillati; Cyanobacteriota; Cyanophyceae; Oscillatoriales; Oscillatoriaceae.